This 403-nucleotide ribosomal RNA is filed under the name uncultured bacterium. RNAcentral's name for it is "partial 16S ribosomal RNA". It matches the Rfam family "Bacterial small subunit ribosomal RNA", at positions 29 to 526 of the family's 1533-position model. The record is from RNAcentral.
AUUGAACGCUGGCGGCAGGCCUAACACAUGCAAGUCGAGCGAGCGGCGGACGGGUGAGGAAUGUAUGGGGACUGCCCGAUAGAGGGGGAGAACAACUGGAAACGGGGGCUAAUAUCGCAUACUGUAGGAUAACCCAUAUGGGAUUGGCUAGUAGGUAAGGGAAUGGCUUACCCAGGCGACGCUCCCUAGCGGGUCUGAGCGGAUGAUCAGCCACACUGGGACUGAGACACGGCCCAGACGCCUACGGAGGCAGCAGUGGGGAAUAUUGCACAAUGGGCGCAAGCCUGAUGCAGCCAUGCCGCGUGUAUGAAGAAGGCCCUAGGGUUGUAAAGUACUUUCAGUCGGGAGGCGUUACCGACAGAAGAAGCACCGGCUAACUCCGUGCCAGCAGCCGCGGUAAUUC